UGUAAGCGUAUACCAAAGUUGUUGCAGUUAAAACGCUCGUAGUCGGAAUUUGGCGGUUCCGGAUGUGUGCACGUCGUGUGCGCACUUCGCGGGGAUUGCUUUUGUGGUCUUGCGUAGGAUGAGGCACUUUUAUUAGUGAACGUCCUCACGCAACCACUUUUUACUGUGAGAAAAUCAGAGUGCUCAAAGCAGGCAUUUGCCGUGAAUGUAUUAGCAUGGAGUAAUAGAAUAGGACUUGGUUCUAUUUUGUUGGUUUGUUGGGACUGAGUAAUGAUUAAGAGGGACAGUUGGGGGCAUUUGUAUUUCGGUGCUAGAGGUGAAAUUCUUAGAUUACCGAAAGACAAACUGCUGCGAAAGCGUCUGCCAAGGAUGUUUUCAUUGA
Molecule: ribosomal RNA, 382 nt
Filed under: uncultured eukaryote
Lineage: Eukaryota
Description: partial 18S ribosomal RNA
Rfam family: Eukaryotic small subunit ribosomal RNA
Source: RNAcentral